AUAAAUAAGGGACUAAAGAAAAUGAAUGAAUGACUGAUUAUUUCUGUCAGUGCAACAGCGAGAGACAAGACCCUGCUGCGGUGUCUGGGCAUCACACACAUCCUGAACGCUGCAGACGGGCCUCAGCACAUACACACCGGCGCAGAGUUCUACUGGGACACACACGCAGAGUACCUCGGUAUAGAGGCGGCGGACAGCAGACACUUCAGCAUCACACCCUUCCUACAGCCAGCCGCGGAUUACAUCCAUCAAGCUCUGCAGGAUGGAGGGACGCUCCUGGUUCACUGUGCGAGAGGAGUGAGUCGAUCCUCCACAUUAGUUCUGGCGUAUCUGAUGAUCUAUGAACAUCUCAGCAUCGCAGACGCCAUCGCUGCCGUUUCUGCACACAGGAAUAUUUUACCCAACGCUGGAUUCCUGCAGCAGCUGCGAGUGCUGGACGCCAGCCUCAUGCAGAGAGAGACACAUCCACACCCACACUGAUUUAAAUAAAAGAAUUAAAGAAUAAU
Molecule: non-coding RNA, 506 nt
Organism: Danio rerio (zebrafish)
Lineage: Eukaryota; Metazoa; Chordata; Actinopteri; Cypriniformes; Danionidae
Source: RefSeq, a predicted model, not a curated record